RNAcentral lists this ribosomal RNA (261 nucleotides) under Triticum aestivum (bread wheat). Its description in RNAcentral is "partial small subunit ribosomal RNA". The record is from RNAcentral. Lineage: Eukaryota; Viridiplantae; Streptophyta; Magnoliopsida; Poales; Poaceae.
UCCGUCGGCGACGGACGGACCUACCGCUUUUGGACGGAUCCUUGGAUCGAUGACAAGGCCAUCUCCGAGUUGGCUCCAUCCCUCCUUCCACUCGUGCCUCGUCGUCGGCGUAAGCGCACGAUGGAGGAAGGGUUUCAUGGCCGUAGCUGGGUGCCCGACCUCCAUGGCGCCUUGACACCAGGGGCUAUGACCGAGUAUGUGCAACUUUGGAGGUUACUCAGACCCAUCUCCCUCUCCUAUUCUCCAGACCGCCUAGUCUAG